Molecule: ribosomal RNA, 471 nt
Filed under: uncultured bacterium
Lineage: Bacteria
Description: bacterial SSU rRNA
Rfam family: Bacterial small subunit ribosomal RNA
Source: RNAcentral
CCAGACUCCUACGGGAGGCAGCAGUAGGGAAUCUUCCACAAUGGACGAAAGUCUGAUGGAGCAACGCCGCGUGAGUGAAGAAGGGUUUCGGCUCGUAAAGCUCUGUUGGUAGUGAAGAAAGAUAGAGGUAGUAACUGGCCUUUAUUUGACGGUAAUUACUUAGAAAGUCACGGCUAACUACGUGCCAGCAGCCGCGGUAAUACGGGGGGUGCAAGCGUUGUCCGGAAUCAUUGGGCGUAAAGAGUUCGUAGGCGGCACGUAAAGUCUGGUGUUAAAGGCAGAGGCUCAACUUCUGUACGGCACUGGAUACUUGCGAGCUAGAAUGCGGUAGAGGUAAAGGGAAUUCCUGGUGUAGCGGUGAAAUGCUUAGAUAUCAGGAGGAACAUCGGUGGCGUAAGCGCUUUACUGGGCCGUAAUUGACGCUGAGGAACGAAAGCCAGGGUAGCAAAUGGGAUUAGAUACCCCCGUAGG